GAUUUCAACUGAAAAAGUCAUCAACAAUAAAGUUGUAUAACUCAUCAAUAUCUAUGACUUUUAUUUUGGUCAUUUCUUCACCCGAUAAAGUGAUACUAACAUUGUUCACAAAUUUUACAUAUCUCUUAUAUGGUUUUAUAAACUAUAAGAGAGAUAUAUAAAUUUUAUGAAUAAUGUUACAAUCAUUUUAUCGGAUGAAAAAAUGACCAAAAUAAAAGUUAUAGAUAUUGAUGAGUUAUACAAUUUUGUUGUUGAUGACUUUUUCAGUUGAAAUC
Oryza rufipogon (brownbeard rice) is the source of this 275-nucleotide microRNA precursor. It matches the Rfam family "MIR821 microRNA precursor family". The record is from Rfam. NCBI's taxonomy places the organism in Eukaryota, Viridiplantae, Streptophyta, Magnoliopsida, Poales, Poaceae.